RNAcentral lists this ribosomal RNA (266 nucleotides) under Armillaria cepistipes. RNAcentral's name for it is "partial 26S ribosomal RNA". It matches the Rfam family "Eukaryotic large subunit ribosomal RNA", at positions 3132 to 3401 of the family's 3401-position model. Lineage: Eukaryota; Fungi; Basidiomycota; Agaricomycetes; Agaricales; Physalacriaceae. The record is from RNAcentral.
UAGUCAGAAUCCGUGCUAGAAACRAUGAUGUUGGUGUCGCACAUUAGACUUGUGUUUAAAUAGAGCUUUGCUCGUGAACCAAAUAUGGUGGGCUGGGUUGUCUUUGCGGAAACGCUUGGGCGACUUGUCUACGAAUUGUAAUCAUAAUAUGGGCGGCGGUGAAUCCUUUGCAGACGACUUGAAUGGGAACGGGGUACUGUAAGUGGUAGAGUAGCCUUGUUGCUACGAUCCACUGAGGUUAAGCCCUUGUUCUAAAGAUUUGUUCA